This 253-nucleotide ribosomal RNA is filed under the name uncultured bacterium. Its description in RNAcentral is "partial 16S ribosomal RNA". It matches the Rfam family "Bacterial small subunit ribosomal RNA", at positions 524 to 776 of the family's 1533-position model. The record is from RNAcentral.
UACGGGGGGGGUAAGCGUUGUUCGGAAUUACUGGGCGUAAAGGGCUCGUAGGCGGCCAACUAAGUCAUACGUGAAAUCCCUCAGCUUAACUGGGGAACUGCGUGUGAUACUGGGUGGCUUGGAUUUGGGAGAGGGAUGCGGAAUUCCAGGUGUAGCGGUGAAAUGCGUAGAUAUCUGGAGGAACACCGGUGGCGAAGGCGGCAUCCUGGACCAAUACUGACGCUCAUGUGCGAAAGCGUGGGGAGCAAACAGG